Molecule: long non-coding RNA, 1464 nt
Filed under: Apteryx haastii (Great spotted kiwi)
Lineage: Eukaryota; Metazoa; Chordata; Aves; Apterygiformes; Apterygidae
Description: lncRNA (ENSAHAG00000014727.1)
Source: RNAcentral
GGGACAGGGACGGGGACAGGGGCUGUGGCACCCUGGCAGGGACCCCCAGGGAUGGGGACACUAUGGCAGGGGGACCCCGGGCGCAGGGAGGAGCAGGUGUCACCUUGGGGUGACAGGGGUGGAAACGGGGUGGCAGAGGGGGCAGCAAUGGGGAUGUGUCACCCGGGAUGACAGAGGGGACACGGCGCCCUGCAGUGACCGGGACACGGGGGGACAGAGGCGACGCGGGGCGACGGGGACGCAGCACCCGGGGUGACAGAGGCGACGGGGACGCUGGCACCCUCUGAGCUGCUUUAUUCUAUUUACAGGGGCGGGAGGGGGCCGGGUGGCGGGACGGGUGUCCCCAGGGUGUCCCCAGGGUGUCCCCCGCGGUGCUGGGCGAAGGCACAGAAAGGAUGGGGCACCCUGGGGUGCAGAGCUGGCAGGGGUGCUCUGGGGCGCAGGAGGACGCGGUGGGGUACAGGGGUCACGCUGUGGUGUGCAGGAUGCCCCAAGGACACCCUGGGGUCACCCAUGGGUGCUGGUGGGCGUCCUAGGCUGCAGGAUGCCCCAAGGGCAUGUUGAGCACCCUGGGGUGCAGGACCGUUGGGCACCAUGUGGUGCAGCAUGGCACCGUGGGCACCUUUGAGCACCAAGGGGUGCAGGAUGCCCCUUGGGCAACCAAGGACACCUUGAGCCGUGGGAUGCCACCAUGGGAACCCAAAGGUGCUCUUGGUUACCGCAGGAUGCCCCAUGGGCACCCAAAGGUGCUCUUGGUUCCCAUGAGCUGCAGGAUGCCCCCAAGGACACCUGGGGGCACUGUUGAGCACCAAGGGGUGCAGGAUGGCACCAGUGGCACCCAAGGACAUCCUAGGCCAUGGGAUGCCCCAUGGGUGCCCAAGGCCACCCAAGGGCACUGUUGAGCACCAAGGGGUGCAGGAUGGCACCAUGGGCACCCAAAGGUCCUCCUGGUUCUCAUGAGCUGCAGGGUGCCACAAGGGCACCGCUGAGCACCGAGGGGCACAGGAUGGCACCAUGGGCACCCAAGGGCACUGCUCAGCACCAAGGGGUGCAGGAUGGUGCCCCAAGCACCCAAAGGUGCUCCCGUUUCCCACGGGCUGAAGGAUGCCUCAAGAGCACCAUUGAACACCAAGAGGUGCAGGAUGCCCCAUGGGCACCCAAAGGUGCUCCCGGUUCCCAUGAGCUGCAGGAUGCUCCAAGGGCACCGUUGAGCACCAAGGGAUGCAGGAUGGCAUCAGGGGCACCCAAGGGCACCGCUGAGCACCAAGAGGUGCAGGAUGGCAUCAGGGGCACCCAAGGGCACCGCUGAGCACCAAGAGGUGUAGGAUGCCCCAUGGGCACCCAAAGGUGCUCCUGGUUCCCGUGAGCUGCAGGAUGCUCCAAGGGCACCGUUGAGUACCGAGGGGUGCAGGAUGGCAUCAGGGACACCCAAGGGCACCGUUGAGCACCAAGGGGCGCAGGAUG